This 510-nucleotide ribosomal RNA is filed under the name Anaerostipes hadrus. Its description in RNAcentral is "bacterial SSU rRNA". It matches the Rfam family "Bacterial small subunit ribosomal RNA", at positions 64 to 601 of the family's 1533-position model. The record is from RNAcentral. Lineage: Bacteria; Bacillati; Bacillota; Clostridia; Lachnospirales; Lachnospiraceae.
GAACUGAAGAUUUGGUGAUUGAGUGGCGGACGGGUGAGUAACGCGUGGGUAACCUGCCCUGUACAGGGGGAUAACAGUCAGAAAUGACUGCUAAUACCGCAUAAGACCACAGCACCGCAUGGUGCAGGGGUAAAAACUCCGGUGGUACAGGAUGGACCCGCGUCUGAUUAGCUGGUUGGUGAGGUAACGGCUCACCAAGGCGACGAUCAGUAGCCGGCUUGAGAGAGUGAACGGCCACAUUGGGACUGAGACACGGCCCAAACUCCUACGGGAGGCAGCAGUGGGGAAUAUUGCACAAUGGGGGAAACCCUGAUGCAGCGACGCCGCGUGAGUGAAGAAGUAUCUCGGUAUGUAAAGCUCUAUCAGCAGGGAAGAAAAUGACGGUACCUGACUAAGAAGCCCCGGCUAACUACGUGCCAGCAGCCGCGGUAAUACGUAGGGGGCAAGCGUUAUCCGGAAUUACUGGGUGUAAAGGGUGCGUAGGUGGUAUGGCAAGUCAGAAGUGAAAAC